This 566-nucleotide ribosomal RNA is filed under the name Hansenula anomala. Its description in RNAcentral is "eukaryotic LSU rRNA". It matches the Rfam family "Eukaryotic large subunit ribosomal RNA", at positions 90 to 670 of the family's 3401-position model. The record is from RNAcentral. Lineage: Eukaryota; Fungi; Ascomycota; Saccharomycetes; Phaffomycetales; Wickerhamomycetaceae.
CGAGUGAGCGGCAAAAGCUCAAAUUUGAAAUCUAGCACCUUCGGUGUUCGAGUUGUAAUUUGAAGAUGGUAACCUUGGGUUUGGCUCUUGUCUAUGUUCCUUGGAACAGGACGUCAUAGAGGGUGAGAAUCCCGUCUGAUGAGAUGCCCAUUCCUAUGUAAGGUGCUAUCGAAGAGUCGAGUUGUUUGGGAAUGCAGCUCUAAGUGGGUGGUAAAUUCCAUCUAAAGCUAAAUAUUGGCGAGAGACCGAUAGCGAACAAGUACAGUGAUGGAAAGAUGAAAAGAACUUUGAAAAGAGAGUGAAAAAGUACGUGAAAUUGUUGAAAGGGAAGGGCAUUAGAUCAGACUUGGUGUUUUACGAUUAUCUUCUCUUCUUGAGUUGUGCACUCGUAUUUCACUGGGCCAGCAUCGAUUCGGAUGGCAAGAUAAUGGCAGUUGAAUGUGGCUUCACUUCGGUGGAGUGUUAUAGCUUCUGCUGAUAUUGCCUGUCUGGAUCGAGGGCUGCGUCUUUUGACUAGGAUGCUGGCGUAAUGAUCUAAUGCCGCCCGUCUUGAAACACGGACCAAA